This is a non-coding RNA of Phoenix dactylifera (date palm), 303 nucleotides long. NCBI's taxonomy places the organism in Eukaryota, Viridiplantae, Streptophyta, Magnoliopsida, Arecales, Arecaceae. The record is from RefSeq and is a predicted model, not a curated record.
AAUAAUAAAUAAAUAAAUAUAAUAAAAUAAAAUAAAAUAAAUAGUAAAGUUGAGAAUAGCAAAUAAUUGAUUUUAUAUGAUAUUAAUAGGUACAGUGGAGUUGCCCAACUGUACUUAGGGAUUCGUGAGCGAAUCAAUAUGAAUAAGACUACUAGGAGCAGGGAGCUUGGUGUUAUUCAGGGUUGGGGUAACUGAAAAUGUUAUGUAAUAUAUAAUUUUAGAAGCUCUGUACUGUUCCAACUUCAUGAAUAAUGUUAUGACACUAGUAAAUGAAACUAUUUAUUUUUAUUAUGAAAUUUUAAA